GAUGAACGCUGGCGGCGUGCCUAAUACAUGCAAGUCGAGCGAACGGACGAGAAGCUUGCUUCUCUGAUGUUAGCGGCGGACGGGUGAGUAACACGUGGAUAACCUACCUAUAAGACUGGGAUAACUUCGGGAAACCGGAGCUAAUACCGGAUAAUAUUUUGAACCGCAUGGUUCAAAAGUGAAAGACGGUCUUGCUGUCACUUAUAGAUGGAUCCGCGCUGCAUUAGCUAGUUGGUAAGGUAACGGCUUACCAAGGCAACGAUGCAUAGCCGACCUGUGAGGGUGAUCGGCCACACUGGAACUGGGACACGGUCCAGACUCCUACGGGAGGCAGCAGUAGGGAAUCUUCCGCAAUGGGCGAAAGCCUGACGGAGCAACGCCGCGUGAGUGAUGAAGGUCUUCGGAUCGUAAAACUCUGUUAUUAGGGAAGAACAUAUGUGUAAGUAACUGUGCACAUCUUGACGGUACCUAAUCAGAAAGCCACGGCUAACUACGUG
Molecule: ribosomal RNA, 497 nt
Filed under: uncultured bacterium
Lineage: Bacteria
Description: partial 16S ribosomal RNA
Rfam family: Bacterial small subunit ribosomal RNA
Source: RNAcentral